AUCCUGGCCUUAUUAUUGAUGCUUCCUCACUUACACAUGCAAGUCUCAGCACACCCGUGAGUAACGCCCCUAUUACAUCUUUUGCCAUAAGGAGCUGGUGUCAGGCACAACCAAUUGCCCACAAUACCUAGUCCUACCACGCCCCCAAGGGUAUUCAGCAGUGAUAAAUCUUGAAUAUAAGCGAAAGCUUGAUUCAGUCAGAGGAAAGAGAGCUGGCCAACUUAGUGCCAGCCGCCGCGGCUACACUAGGGGCUCAAGUUAAUAAUUAUCGGCGUUAAGCGUGACUAAAGUCUAAACAAACUAGGGUUAAAUUAAUAUUUAGUAGUGAUAAGCUUGUUAUUAAGAAAAACAUAAACGAAAGUUACCCUACUUAUUAUGCUUAAAUACACGACAGCUAAGAACACAAACUGGGAUUAGAUACCCCACUAUGCCUAGCCGUAAAUAAUCAACUUACACCAACCAACGCCAGGGGACUACGAGCAACGCUUAAAACCCAAAGGACUUGACGGUGUCCCACCCAACUAGAGGAGCCUGUUCUAGAAUCGAUGAUCCCCGCUACACCUCACCACUCCUAGCUUUUUCAGCCUGUAUACCUCCGUCGAAAGUUUACCAUGUGAAUGUCAUCAGUAGACUCAAGGACCUUCCCCGUCAAUAUGUCAGGUCAAGGUGCAGCCCAAGGAGUGGGAAGCAAUGGGCUACAAUUUCUAAGAUAGAACACACGAAAGCCUGUGUGAAACUACAGGCAUGAAGGCGGAUUUAGCAGUAAAAAGAAAACAGAGAGCUCUUUUUAACCCGGCUCUGGGACGUGUACACACCGCCCGUCGCCCUCUUCAACAAACCCAACUUUAUGUUUCUAACCCAUUUUUAUCUUUUUAGAAGAGGUAAGUCGUAACAUGGUAAGUAUACUGGAAAGUGUACUUAGAUCACUA
This 929-nucleotide non-coding RNA is filed under the name Pulchrana grandocula (big-eyed frog). Its description in RNAcentral is "12S ribosomal RNA". It matches the Rfam family "Bacterial small subunit ribosomal RNA". Lineage: Eukaryota; Metazoa; Chordata; Amphibia; Anura; Ranidae. The record is from RNAcentral.